AUGAGCGGACGCUGCCUACUGGUGGCCGGGCGGGAUGUAACCGGCUGCUGAGCUGGCAGUUCUGUGUCGCUAGGCUUCUGCCCGGCCGCCGCCGCACAUAAGCCACGAGGAGGAGCUUUACGACUUCCCGGUCUUCGGCGCCGGGCGCAGCAAGGGCCAGACUCUGCGCUAGCAGGCGCUGCGCGCCAACCGGCCGGCACCUGUCGCAGAAGGUGCAACCGAUCGCACUGUCGCGCAGAAGCUCCUCAAUGGCCAGCGCCAGCUGCAGCCCCGGCCGCCCACUCGCCUCAUCUGAGCCUGGGUACGUGCGCUCCACAACGCCUCCCCCAGCCAGGGCCCGGGGAUCCCCGGGAGCGUCCCCGGCUACCUGGCGCCGCUCAUCCUGGGUAGGGUCGGCCCCCUGAGGCUGCCCGGCAUGAGGGAGUUGCACCCCUGAGCUUGACCUCUGACGGUCCUUUGUAAUAGCAUUAAGUCUUUGAAACUUGUAGCGGGGUAGAAGGGGCUAGGAAAUGAAGAAAACAUCUUUUUAAAAAUAUAAGCAGUCGGCUGGGCGAGGUGGCCCACACCUGUAAUCCCAGCACUUUGGGAGGUCGAGGCGGGUGGAUCACGAGGACAGGAGUUCAAGACCAGCCUGGCCAGCAUGGUUUCACUGAAACCCCGUCUCUACUAAAAACACAAAAAUUAGUCGGGCGUGGUGGCAGGUGCCUGUAAUCCCAGCUACUCGGGAGGCUGAGGCAGAGAAUUGUUUGAACCCGGGAUGCGGAGGUUGCAGUGAGCGGAGAUCGCGCCACUGCACUCCAGCCUGGGCAACAGACCAAGACUCCGUCUAAACAAACAAAUAUAUGUGUGUAUAUAUAUGCGAUCGAGCCCGGGAGGUUGAGAUUACAGUGAGCUGAGAUUAUAUAAGCGAUCGAGCACUGGAGGUUGAUGUUACAAUGCGCUGAGAUUGCGCCAUUGCACUCCAGCCUGUGUAACAGAGGGAGACUCUGUCUCUAAAAAAUUAUAUGCAAGUGAGAGCUUUUCUUCCAGCACUCAUGCUCAGACUGAAGAAAGUAAUUGGGCCAGGCCCGGUGGCUCACGCCUUUAAUCCCAGCAUUUUGGGAGGCGGAGGCGGAAGUGGGUGGAUCACUUGAGCUCAGGAAUUCCAGACUAGUUUGGGCAACAUGGUGGAACCCUUUCUCUACAAAAAUACAAAAAAUUAGCUGGACAUGGUGGCACGCGCUUGUAGUCUCCGCAACUUGCCGGGCUUAGGCGGGAGAAUCGCUCAGCUGCAGCCUCGACCUCCAGGGGCAAUCCAUUUCAGCCUCCCAAAGUGCUGAGAUUACAGGAAUGAGCCAUCGUGCCUGGCUUUACACUAUAUUUUAACACUUUUUUUGAAAAUGGAAACUUUUACAGGCAAUUCACUUCCUUCAAACUAAUGAUAAGGAAGUGAUGCUGUUCUGUUCUGUUUUGUUUUUUGUUUUUGUGGGUUUUUUUUCUUUUUUGAGAUGGGGUCUUGCCCAGGUUGGAGUGAGGUGGUGCAAACAAGGCUCACUGCAGCCUUGACCUUCGGGCUCAAGGAAUCCUUCCCCGUCAGCCUCCCCGGUAGCUAGGACUACAGGUGCAUGCUACCACGCUUGGCUAAUUCUUUUUUUGAAAUGGAGUCUCACUCUGUCUCCCAGGCUGGAGUGCAGUGGUGCAAUCUCGGCUCACUGCAGGCUGGUCUCAACCUCUGACUUCGGAUGGUCCACCCACUUCUGCAUCCCAAAGUGCUGGGAUUACAAGUGUGACCCACCGCGCCUGGCGAUUUUGCUCAUUUUAGAUACUAGAACUUUUUAAUUUAAAAUUUUUUUUUCCUGAGAUGGAGUCUUACUUUGUCUCCAGGCUGGAGUGUAGUCGCGUAAUCUCGGCUCACUGCAACCUCCACCUCCUGAGUUCAAGCGAUUCUCCUGCCUCAGCCUGCCAGAGUUGCUGGGACUACAGGUGUGCACCACCACACCCAGGAGUUCAAGGCUGCAGUGAGCCAUGAUCGUACCACUGCACUCCAGCCUGGGCAACACAGCGAGACCCUGACUCCACAAAUAAAUAAAUCAACGUCAUAUGAUCUGUACCAGGGUAUAGGCAGGUGCUAUGAUCCCCACUUUUCAUCCUCAACUCUAAGUUGAGUCAUACAUCAACCUCUAGUAAAAAGUGGCAUGCUCUCAGUCAAAGGGGUAAGCCCAAACCACGUGGAGAGAAUCUUAUCUCUUUUGAGAGCUAAUAUAAAAAGAAUUCCUCCUAGGCAUAAAAAUAUUAUGACACCAGUUACUUAGGCUAAACAUGCCUAUUAUGCUAAGUGAGUUAUUAACAAUAAAUACUUUAACUCUGUGCCAUGUUAAUUAUCAUAAUCUGAUUUAUAAUUUGUUUUAACCUUAGGUUAUAUAUACCUUGAAGCCAUUUAUAUUUUGGUAUACUUGUAAUAAUUACUAUACACUGGACUAUGUAUAUUGGACUAAACACGGAGAGUCAAAAAAGAGUAUGUGGUCAGAGUAGAAAUCAUGCCCUAGCUUCCUUCGUGUCUACCUCCUACCUUGAGUAGAAGUGGUAGAAAAAGUAAUUACCUAAGAUUUUUUGGAUUCUGGUUUGUGGAGAAGCACCCUUAUAUUUAGGCUGAUGGGCGGCAAAAUUAGAAAGUAUUUUUUGUGAUUUAGAAUUUUAUACAGAGAUGUUCAUUGUGAUUAAUUAUUCUUUGUAUUAGCAGAUUUUUGCUUUUUAUAGCUGCAUGAUUUCUUGUUUAUUAUUCAUUCAUUAUUGUCUAUUAAUAAAGAAAAACUUUAUUUCACUGAAGCAGUGAUAUAUAAUCCAACUUGGAUUUUUAAAUAAUGACUGACUUUUUUUCUUUGGGAAUACAUUACUGUUAAAAAUGUAAUUAUUAGAUACAUUACUUUUAAUGAAUAUAAGUGGUAUAAUUAGAAGGCUGAAAAGAAUCCUUGGAAACGUGAGUUUAAUUUGAUAGCUAAGAAACUGAGGACAAGAUACUUAUUCUUUGUAGCAUAUUUUCUAAUGUCAUUUCAUUGUCUCACCAAGAAAUACUUGCAUAAAGCAAGUUCAAUUACAGUAUCUGUUGAAUAUUUAAGGUUGAGUAAAGUGGGUGAGUUUAACAGAUAUUUUCCCUUAUUUCUUUUAGGCAAAUCUGGAUUGGGAAAGUUGACAUUAAUCAACUCAUUAUUCCUCACAGAUUUGUAUUCUCCAGAGUAUCCAGGUCCUUCUCAGAGAAUUAAAAAGCCUGUACAGGUCUAGAUAUUGGUAUUUUUAAUUGAUGAUAAGCUGGAAUAAUAUUAAUACACACAAAGCACGUGUUGUAACUUUCAUUAUGCUUCCUUAGAGGUAAGAUGCAAAUUUGCCCUUAGCCAGUGUAAGAUGGUAAAUAUGACUUCAUAAAAUCAAAAAAACAGAAGAAGUACAGUUAAUCGAAAGAUUAUCUUGACUAGAACUUUCCAAAUUUGUCCUAAGGAUUCUCCUAGAGAUGACACUGUGACAUAGUAACCAAUUCCCCUGGAGUUGUGCUAUGUAGUAUGAUAGUCAUUUGCCACAUGUUUAAAUCAAUUAAAAUUAAUUAAAUUAAAAUGCAAUUUCUCAUUUGCUCCAGAUACAUUUCAAGUGCUCAACAGCCACAUGUGGCAAGUGGCUGCCAUUUUGUGCAGCACAUAUAUGAAGAUUUUCAUCAUUGUAGAAAAUUGCAUUGGACAGUGUAGAGAAAACAUGAUUCAUAGAAAAACUAUUGUUAUUUAAAUACAGUGUUCUAUAUUAGUCAGUGGGAUAAUACCAUAUCAUAGUUGAAUGGCAAUAGCAAUUCUGUAAGACUCCCAAGCUAUAUGUGAUCUAAUUUACUGCUUCUCAGUCUUUGCUAUGCAUUCCAAUCCUGGGUAUCCUGUUAAAUUUAUUUCUUCUAGUAGUUCUGAGAUGGGCUGCCUUUCUACAUUUCUAACAAGAUCCCAGGUGAUGCUGAUGCUGCUGGAUGGUAGAUCACACUUUAUAAAGCAAGGGGCUAGACUCUAGAUAUGCACUUUUUAUUAAAUAGUACAGCAGCCUGUAGCCACAUGUGGCUAUUAAUCUUUGAAAUGUGGGUAGUCUGAAUUGUGAUGUUCUGCAAACAUAAAAUAUGCCACAGAUUUCUAAGACUGAGCAUGGAAAAGAAAAUCUCCAUAAUUUUUUAUAUUGAUUGUAUACUGCAGUGAUAAUAUUUUGGAUGUAUCAGGUUAAAUAAAAUUGACUGAUUUCACCUUUUUCCUAUUUUAAAAGUGGCUACUAAGAAAAUUUUAAAUUACUUACAUGACCGACAUGGUAUUUUUAUUUGGCAGCGCUGCUCUAAGCUGUUGAUGAAAAAUAUUGUUGGUGAGCUCUGCUUAGGUAAUAUAUAGGACAUGAGCAGAGAGGAGGCACGUGAACAGUUCUGGCCUGGAGUAGGCUUCAUUGAGGCUGUGAUGCUUUUAGCUGGAUUUGAAGAAGUGGUAGUGAUCAUCCCAGUGCACAGGAUAGGUGGACAGUCUAUGUAUUCUGAGCAGUAACUCAUAUAUCUCAUACUGCAAGACCCCAAAGGAGUAAUUUUGUGAAGUAAAUAUCUUAUUUCUCCUUUUUAAUGUUUCUAUUUUAGGAAUUUUUUUUUUUUUUAGUAACCUUCAUAGGGCUUGAGAUUUAAAAUUACCUGCAAAAUUCUACUCUAAAAACUUGAUCCUACAUGCUUAUUUUGUGAUAAAUAUUGGAAAUUUUAAACCUAAGCAAGAAAAUGAACUUUGAACUUUCUUAAUUUGGGUAUCUAUUAUGAAUACCUUCACUUAAGUAUUUAUGAAUUUAGAUAUGAAAGGUAAAACUAACCACUAUCCAAAUUAAUAUACAGUUCAUUUCCAGAACCCUAGUUUCUUCCAUGUGCUCACUUGCAUUCAGUAUUACAACCCCCAAAGAUAAACACCUUACUGACUGCCUUCUCCAUAAAUUUGCCUGUUCUUGAAUGUUAUAUACGUAUACUUUUUUGUAUCUGUUUUCUUUCAGUGAAGAUUAUGUCUGUAUUAUUUACUCAUGUUGGGUGUAGUUGUUUUUUUCAUCGUCGUAUAAUACUCCAUUGUGUGAAUGUAUCAGUAUAUCCUUUAUUAUUUAUUUAAACUGACUUAAAUGUUUUUUGACACUUUGGUUAUAUUUAAGAAGUUGACUUCUCUAAUUUCCUUGUCAUGUUUAUUUUUAAAUAUCUUUCUCUUUAAAAGUUGGGAUACUAUAAUAAAUAUUCAGCAAGUAUUUUGUGUUUAAAUAUAAAAUCUUGUUAUUUGGAUUUUAAUACUUUAUAUAUAGUAUUUAUAUAUAUAAACAUAAACAAAACUAAAGACUCUAUGAAAGAAUCAAAUGGAUUUUCUAUAACUGAAAAUUUCAAUGACUAAAAUUAAGAUAUUACCAGAUAGGUUUAACAGCAAAUUCCAUAAAGUUGGUAAGAAAACAAGAAUACUCAAAAAAUGGAAAGAAGUAGAAAAUAAAAACACUGAGAAGCAUAGAAUGCAAAUUUAGAAAAGAGCUUAAGAGACAUAUCAGACAUGGUAAAAGGUUUAACACACAUAUAAUCAAACUUUCCUAGCUCUGUUCACGGAAAGGGCCUGGGAGCUGCAACACCUCAACAGCAACAAGCACACCUGCUACCUAGAACUUGGUUUCUAAAAACCAUCCUCCUCUAAAAGGAAACAGAGCUCUUUGAAGAAACGGUAAUUUCAAAGCUAGAGCACAGAAAGUAUAAGAUGAGCCCAGAAUAUCUUUUUGUACAAGAAAGUAAGGCAAUGCUCAAAGAAUGAUGGAGACAUGCCCAAAAAAAGCAGAGAAGCCAACUUGAAAAGAUUCCAACAGGCCAAAUAUGGGGCGAUUUGAACAUCAGAAUAAAAUGGUGACAGUCACAGAAUUAUAACCCAGUGAAGAAAGGAAUUCAUGACAUCAUAUUAAUAUAAAUAAUAAUUGAAUAUUGAAAUUCGUUAAAGGAAAUGAGAUAUUUAUGUAGUCUUAAGGUAUCUUCUCACAAAUUAUGUAUUACUUACAAAGGGGAAAAGUGCACCUUGACGUGAGAAUCUUGGCAGAACUACUUUAAUCAAGAGGUUUAGUUGAGCAUUAUCAGUAACAGAGUAAAUCAAAAUCAUAAGCCACUUGAUAGAUACAAUGAGAAAAUAAAGCAUCACUUCUGUGACACCCUAUAAAAAAUGAAUCUAAUAAUGAGGAAACAUGAGAAAAAACCAAACUGAGGGAUAUUCUACAAAUAAAUUGUCCUGUAAUCUUCAAAAAUUUCAAGGUUAUAAAAGUCAAGAAAAACAGACAAUCUUUUCCAAACUCAAGGGAACUAAAGAGGCAUGAAAUCUAAAUGCUUAAUUCUGGAUUUCAUCUUUUUGAUAUAAAGAACAGUAUUGAGACUAUUGAUAAAAUUUGAGUGGGGUCUGAAGAUUCAUUGGUAGUAGUAAGCUCAAUUUAAUUUCCUCACUUUGAUCAUUGUACUCUGGUUUUUAGAAUGUUCUAGUCAACAGGUAAUAUGAAUUAAACUAAUCGAGGGUGACAGGGCAUUAUAUCAGCCACUUAUCAACAAACAUUUCAGAGAAAAAUAGUUCCUUGUAUUGUUAUUGCAAUUUUCUUUGAGAUUGCCCCCUCCGAAACAGUAAGAACUUUCAAAAACAAACAAAGAUAUCAAGCCACAGAUUCAAAGUGCUAUAAACUCCACGCAUGAUUAGUUCUCACUCAUAGGUGGGAAUUGAACAAUGAGAACACAUGGACACAGGAAGGGGAACAUCACACACCAGGGCCUGUUGUGGGGUAGGGGGAGGGGGGAGGGAUAACAUUAGGAGAUAUACCUAAUGUUAAAUAACGAGUUAAUGGGUGCAGCACACCAACAUGGCACAUGUAUACAUAUGUAACUAAACUGCACAUUGUGCACAUGUACCCUAAAACUUAAAGUAUAAUAAAAAAAAAUCAUACCUAGAUAUAUCACAAUAAAACUUGACCUCAGAGUUUCUAGCUCUCAAGACCAAUUCCUCCCAUCCUGCCACUAACAGAUUUCUCCAAACAUCUCUGCACCUCAGAGUGCAAAUACAAUCAAACAUUUCACUCCAUUGAUAGGAAGCAUCCUUCACUAUCUUCUACCAAGGGCUUCCUCCUUUGGUGCUUCAAAAUUUUUUAUGAAAGGAACAUCCAUUUUAUUCAAAGCACCUCCAAACCUGCAAUCCUAAGUUCCAGGCAACUCAAUCCCAAAAAUCCACUGUAGAUGCCCAAAGGCUGGGGUGUUCGGUCUUCAACAUUUUUGCCUUUGUGGCUCCCAGUCAAGAUAGAGCUGCACCAAGUCCAAUUCCAUUCCUCAUCACAGAUGAUUUUUUCUACUUUAAGAUCAGAACUAUACAAGCUUCUUGCUUUGUGUCAGCAUGCUGUUGUACCCAUGGGCAAAUUCUUAGGUAAGACAAAAACACAGUCCCAAGGGCAGGUAGUAAUUUUUUCAGAAAAAGGUAAGGCAAUCAUUUAUCUCAGUCUGCCCAGGACAGUCCCAAUUUACACAUGUAUAUUCUCCCAAUCUGUAGGCUGUCUUUUCAUUUUGUUGAUUAUUUCACUUAAUUUUUUAUUAUUUAUUUAUUUUAUAGAGACAGAUCUCAUUAUGUUGCCCAGGGUGAUCCUUGAUCUCCUGGCCUCAAGUGAUCCUCCAACCUUGGUCUCCCAAAGUGCUGGGAUUACAGAUGUGAACUACCACACCCAGUCAACGUGCAGAAGGUUUUCAGUUUGAUGUAGUCUGAUGUAGUCUCAUGUAUUUAUCCUUCUUGUUGUUGCCUGAGCUUUUGGUGUGAUAUCCAAAAAUAUCAUUGCCAAGAUCAAUAUCAAGAAACUUUCCCCCUAUGUUUCUUACAGAAAUUUUAUGGUUUCAGAUUUUUCAUCCAUUUUGAGUAUAUUUGUGUGUAUGAUGUAAGAUAAGGGUCCAGUCUCCCCAGUGUUGGAUAUCCAAUUUUCAUAACACCAUUUAUUGAAGAGAUUAUUCUUUCUCCACUGUGUUUUCUUGAUGUCCUUGUCAAAAAUUAGUUGACUUUUAUAUGCUUGGGUUUAUUUCUGGGCUCUAUUCUGUUUCAUUGCUUUACAUCUCUGUUUUCAUGCCAGUGCCACAGUGUUUUGAUUACUAUAGCUUUGUAAUAUAAUUUGAAAUCAGAAUGUGUAAUACCUAUAACUUUGUUUUUUGCUCUAAAGAUUUAUUUAUUUAUUUAUUUUUGCCAUUUCAGGUCUUUUGUGGUUUCAUAUGAAUUUCAGAAUUGUUUUUCCUAUUUCUGUGAAAAAUGCCAUUGACAUUUUGAUAGGGAUUGUGUUGAAUCUAUAUAUUGCUUUGGAUAGUAUGGAUGUUUUAACACUAUUAAUUGUCCCAAUCCAUGAACAUGAAAUAUCUUUCCAUUCACUUGUGUCUUCUUCAAUUUCUUUCAUCAAUGUUUUAUAGUUUUCAUUGUGCAGAUCUUUCACUUACCUGGUUAAAUUUAUUCCUACAAUUUCAUUCUUUUUGAUACUAGGGUAAAUUGAAUUAUUUUCUUGAUUUCUAUAAAUUAUUUCUUAUAAUACUCAUACUUGUCAGGCCUCUGGGCCCAAGCCUGCAUGUAUACAUCCAGAUGGCCUGAAAUAACUGAAGAAUCACAAAAGAAGUGAAAAUGGCCAGUUCCUGCCUUAACUGGUGACAUUACCUUGUGAAAUUCCUUCUCCUGGCUCAGAAGCUCCCCCGCUGAGCACCUUGUGACCCCCGUCCCUGCCCACCAGAGAACAACCCCCUUUGACUGUAAUUGUCCACUACCCACCCAAAUCCUAUAAAACAGCCCCACCCGUCUCCCUUCACUGACUCCUUUUUCAGACUCAGCCUGCCUGCACCCAGGUGAAAUAAACAGCCUUGUUGCUCACACAAAGCCUGUUGGUGGACUCUCUUCACACAGAUGCGCGAGACAAUACUAACACUAAUAUUAUUUUGAUUCGUCAGAUGGAAAAGUAAGGCUUGAAGAGGUUAGAAAUAACUUUUCCAAGGUCACAGAGCUAAUUGCCACAACUAUAACUCAGCUCUAGUAUGUGAACAAAGAUUUUUUUAUACCAAACCAAAAUUAUUUAUUUCUACUCCACUAUUCUAUCAUGGUGCAUUUUAGGUGCUAAUGGGAAAAUCUGCUCUAUGAUGGUGUCCAAUAGACAAUUAAAAUUCAAAUCUGGAAAUGAGAUCUGGACUGAAGAUUUUUUUAAAAAUUAGCCCUCAUCACAUGUAGUCAGCUGUAGAAAUCCUUAGCAUGGCUGAAAUUUUUCAUAUUAAGACAAGACUAGAACUUGGCCAGGUGUGGUGGCUCACACCUGUAAUCCCAGCACUUUGGGAGGCUGAGGUGGGUGAAUCACCUGAGGUCUGGAGUUUGAGACCAGCUGACCAACAUGGUGAAACACCAUCUCUACUAAAAAUACAAAAAAUUAGCCAGGCGUGGUUGCACAUGCCUGUAAUCCUAGCUACUUGGGAAGCUGAGGUAGGAGAAUUGCUUGAACCCAGGAGGUGGAGGUUGCAGCAAGCUGAGAUCGUGCCAUUGCACUGCAGUCUGGGCAAAAAAAGCAAAACUCUGAAGAAAGAGAGAGAGAGGGAGAGAGGGAGAGAGAAAGGAAGAGACGAUGAGAGACAGAGAGAAGGAGAGAGAAAGUACAAAAGAACGAAUGAACGAACAAACUAGAAAUCGAGCAGGAACCUUGGAGGACCUAUUGCUUAAGGUGUGGGCCAAAGAAAGUAAGUUAGGGCAAGAGACUAAGGUAUGCCAGAGACCCAGGACAAAACACAGUGCAGAGUGAUGUCACAGAGCCAAAUGGGAGUGCAAGCUAUGGCAAGCCCUCCCAAGUAUGUGUGGGUUAAAUGUAAUUAAAUUCAAAAUCUCUCAACCCAAAAAUUUUCUCCACAAAGGAAGUAGAGAAACAAAACAGUUCAUUAUUGAAUAAGCAUUAAACCAGAAUGUGAUGUGUGAAUAUAAUGGAAUGGAAUGGAAUGGAAUGGAAUGGAAUGGAAUGGAAUGGAAUGGAGUGGAGUGGAAUGGACCCGAAUGGAAUGGAACGGAACGGAAUGGAAUGGAACGCACUCGAAUGGAAUGGAACGGACAUGAAUGGAAUGGAAUGGAACGGACACGAAUGGAACGGAACGGAACGGAAUGGACUUGAGUGGGAUGGAAUGGAAUUGAAUGGACUCUAAUGGAAUGGACAUGAAUGGAAUGGAAUGGACUCAAUUGGAAUGCAGUUGAAUUGAAAGGAUCCAAAAGGAAUGCAAUGGAAUGCAUUGGAAUGGAAUGCAAUGGACUUGAAUGGGAUGGAAUGGAAUGGAAUGGACUCUAAUGGAACGGAAUGGAAUGGAACCGAAUGGAAUGGAAUGGACUUGAAUGGAAUAGAAUGGAAUGGAAUGGACUCGAAAGAAAUGAAAUGGAAUGGAUUCAAAUGGAAUGGAAUGGACACAAAUGGAACCAAAUGGAAUGGAAUGGACUCGAAUGGAAUACAAUGGAAUUUAAUGGAAUGGACUCUAAUGGAAUGGAAUGGACUAGAAUGGAAUAGAACGGAAUAGGCUCGAAUGGUAUGGAAUGCAAUGGAAUGGACUCGAAUGGAAUAGAACAGAAUAGACUAGAAUGGUAUGGAAUGCAAUGUAAUGGACUCGAAUGGAACGGAAUGGAAUGGACAAGAAUUGAAUUGAAUGGACUGGAAUGGAAUGGAAUGGACUCCAAUGGAAUG
RNAcentral lists this long non-coding RNA (10710 nucleotides) under Homo sapiens (human). Its description in RNAcentral is "non-protein coding lnc-SAMD11-7:5". The record is from RNAcentral. Lineage: Eukaryota; Metazoa; Chordata; Mammalia; Primates; Hominidae.